Molecule: ribosomal RNA, 468 nt
Filed under: uncultured bacterium
Lineage: Bacteria
Description: partial 16S ribosomal RNA
Rfam family: Bacterial small subunit ribosomal RNA
Source: RNAcentral
GACGAACGCUGGCGGCGUGCUUAACACAUGCAAGUCGAACGGAAAGGCCCUGCUUUUGUGGGGUGCUCGAGUGGCGAACGGGUGAGUAACACGUGAGUAACCUGCCCUUGACUUUGGGAUAACUUCAGGAAACUGGGGCUAAUACCGGAUAGGAGCUCCUGCUGCAUGGUGGGGGUUGGAAAGUUUCGGCGGUUGGGGAUGGACUCGCGGCUUAUCAGCUUGUUGGUGGGGUAGUGGCUUACCAAGGCUUUGACGGGUAGCCGGCCUGAGAGGGUGACCGGGCACAUGGGGACUGAGAUACGGCGCAGACUCCUACGGGAGGCAGCAGUGGGGAAUAUUGCACAAUGGGCGGAAGCCUGAUGCAGCAACGCCGCGUGCGGGAUGACGGCCUUCGGGUUGUAAACCGCUUUCGCCUGUGACGAAGCGUGAGUGACGGUAAUGGGUAAAGAAGCACCGGCUAACUACGUG